This is a transfer RNA of Camelus ferus (Wild Bactrian camel), 72 nucleotides long. It matches the Rfam family "tRNA". Rfam says of the family: Transfer RNA (tRNA) molecules are approximately 80 nucleotides in length. Their secondary structure includes four short double-helical elements and three loops (D, anti-codon, and T loops). The record is from Rfam. NCBI's taxonomy places the organism in Eukaryota, Metazoa, Chordata, Mammalia, Artiodactyla, Camelidae.
GUGGGUAGAGCUCAGUGGUAGAGUGAGUGCUUAGCAUGUAUAAGGUCCUGGCUUCAAUCCCCAGUACCUCCA